Molecule: unclassified non-coding RNA, 496 nt
Filed under: Hevea brasiliensis (rubber tree)
Lineage: Eukaryota; Viridiplantae; Streptophyta; Magnoliopsida; Malpighiales; Euphorbiaceae
Source: RNAcentral
GCAAUGAUUGUAAGCACUCAGACUAUUACUUUUGUUGGUUUUUCUCCUUUUGACAUCUUUAUUUCUAUGCCUAAGGUAUAACAUUGGACCUUAACCAGUUAACCAUCAAGUGAUGGCAAUGCGACCAUAUAUAGGAAGAAGCAAUAUAUUAUGUGUUCUUUUCUUAAACUGAAGUUGGGAACUCUAGCAAUUGAUGCUAUAGAGUGUAAACUUUUGUUGCAUUGAGUCUUCUUUUUACUCUAUUAUAUCCUUCUUGCACACAUUGCACACUUAAUAUGGACAUAGGCACUUUGGGUAUUACCCUCCAAAUAAGAAAAGAAGUACCCAAAAAUUGUCAGCCAUGGAUGUGUAUUUGACACUCAUAUCCAAGUCUGAGCAACGUAGGUCUAAUUAUAUUUGUGAUGUGCUGAUGUACCAUAAGGUAUAUACCUAAUAUUGAGGUUCCAUAUCAAAGUUUUUUCUAAUAUUUUUGUUCCUGAAAUGCAGCAGAUUUUAG